UUCCGGUUGAUCCCGCCGGACCUGACUGCUAUCGGAUUGAUACUAAGCCAUGUGAGUCUUUGUAGUAAUACAAGGCAUACGGCUCAGUAACACGUAGUCAACCUACCCUAUGGACGAGAAUAAUCUCGGGAAACUGAGCAUAAUUCUUGAUAGAUCAUAAUGCCUGGAAUGGUUUAUGAUUAAAAUGAUUCGUCGCCAUAGGAUGGGACUGCGGCCUAUCAGCUUGUUGGUGAGGUAAUGGCCCACCAAGGCGAUUACAGGUACGGGCUCUGAGAGGAGAAGCCCGGAGAUGGGUACUGAGACACGGACCCAGGCCCUAUGGGGCGCAGCAGGCGAGAAAACUUUGCAAUGCGCGAAAGCACGACAAGGUUAAUCCGAGUGAUUUCUGCUAAAGAAAUCUUUUGCUAGUCGUAAAACCACUGGUGAAUAAGGGGUGGGCAAGUUCUGGUGUCAGCCGCCGCGGUAAAACCAGCACCUCAAGUGGUCAGGAUGAUUAUUGGGCCUAAAGCAUCCGUAGCCUGCUUUGUAAGUUUUUGGUUAAAUCCAUGUGCUCAACGCAUGGGCUGCCGAAAAUACUGCAUAGCUAGGGAGUGGGAGAGGUAGACGGUACUCAGUAGGUAGGGGUAAAAUCCUUUGAUCUAUUGAUGACCACCUGUGGCGAAGGCGGGCUACCAGAACACGUUCGACGGUGAGGGAUGAAAG
Molecule: ribosomal RNA, 702 nt
Filed under: uncultured archaeon
Lineage: Archaea
Description: bacterial SSU rRNA
Rfam family: Archaeal small subunit ribosomal RNA
Source: RNAcentral